Molecule: transfer RNA, 1375 nt
Filed under: Vulpes vulpes (red fox)
Lineage: Eukaryota; Metazoa; Chordata; Mammalia; Carnivora; Canidae
Description: lncRNA (ENSVVUG00000020120.1)
Source: RNAcentral
AAAGAGACGAAGAUAAGUCAUUGCACACACAGAAGUAAAGAAGAACAUCCAUAUGUACUGAUCUACCGAUCAGGUGGGAGAAAGUUGAGACUUAACCUCUUUGACAGAAUAACGUCGGGCCCAAAAGGGCAGGGAAGCUGUAGUUUCCUGACCCAGGAAGAGCUCAAAACGGAACUGCCCCCUCUGAGGUUCGAACUCAGGACCUUCAGAUUAUGAGACUGACGCGCUGCCUACUGCGCUAAGGAGGCAGGUGUCACAGACGCCCUCAGCACAAAGUGUUCACUGCGGAUCUUACUUUGCUCCAAUUCGGUUCUUCCCCGGAUUACCUUCCUCUACACUUCGGAAACGAGAUGCUCCCUGCAACAGCUUGUAACCCCGAGGCCGACGGAGAAAGCAGGCGUUGAUGCGACUGCCUCGGCUCCCCUGGUCCAAGUUGACGACCCCGCCCGGCACGAGGGGGACAUUUCCUCGCUGUACCCUCCUGGACGCGCGCUCGCUCACGAGCGGUGAGUCUGCGCAGGCUGCCCGCACCGAGGCUCUGCCCUCCCAUCGGCGCGCGAUCUUCGGGACGCGGACGAGUCCCUCCUGCUGCCGCCCUUCUCGGGAGAGGCCCGCCCCGGGAGACUCCCUUCGGCCUUCGGACCCGCGGGACGCUCGGUGCAGAGCGCGGCGCCCGGGCGGGGUGUGCGGGGGGGUGUGCCCGGGCGUCCGGGCGUCCGGGUCUCCGCGCCGAGGCUGCCUGCUGGAUACCCCUUCCCGCGCCACAGGCGGCUGGGAGCUCCGGGGCUGGAGGCACCGCGGCGUUAACACCAGGGCCGCUGUCCCGCGCAGUCCCUCCUCUGCACCUGCAGUGCCGUCCUCUUUGGGGUCCCGCGAGCUGCGGCCUGUGGUUCAACGAGGCGCGCGCUGCACGCGGCGUCCCCCGGUGACUUCGCUCCGCGAGAAAUUGCAAGGCGAGGACAUACAAGACGGGACAUUUCUAUGCUGUGUAUUGGCCUCUUGCACCAUGGAGCUGAUUCCAACAGAUGAACUCGCUCUCUACAAUAUGGCACCAAAUUGAGUCGUGUGUCAAGAUACAGCAACAAGAACAAAUUUCCCCCAGCUCCUAUGUACUAUUAUUUGAAGCAUAGCAUGGAAAACCUUCUUCCUGAUUAGUAUGUAGAUUUAAUUAAAACUUCCAGAUACGGGAUCCCUGGGUGGUGCAGUGGUUUGGCUCCUGCCUUUGGCCCAGGGCGCGAUCCUGGAGACCCGGGAUCGAAUCCCACGUCGGGCUCCCGGUGCAUGGAGCCUGCUUCUCCCUCUGCCUGUGUCUCUGCCUCUCUCUCUCUGUGACUAUCAUAAAUAAAUAAAAAUGUUAAAAAAAAAUAAAUAAACA